Caenorhabditis elegans is the source of this 134-nucleotide non-coding RNA. The record is from Ensembl. Lineage: Eukaryota; Metazoa; Nematoda; Chromadorea; Rhabditida; Rhabditidae.
AGAUGAUCAAAGAAUUGAGAUCACUACACAAACCAGUUGAGAAUUCUUCCAGAUCUAUGACCUAAUCGGGCGAUUUUUCAAUAUCAAAUCAGAAAUAACAAACAGAUAUGGAGGAGUGUGAGAAGGAGAGAAAG